GACAUAGGUGGCGAACGUUAUCCGGAAUUACUGGGCGUAAAGCGUGCGUAGGUGGUUUGUUAAGUCUGUUGUGAAAGCCCCGGGCUCAACCUGGGAAUGGCAAUGGAUACUGGCAAGCUAGAGUGGGGUAGAGGGUAGUGGAAUUCCCGGUGUAGCGGUGAAAUGCGUAGAGAUCGGGAGGAACACCAGUGGCGAAGGCGGCUACCUGGACCAGCACUGACACUGAGGCACGAAAGCGUGGGGAGCAAACAGG
This 253-nucleotide ribosomal RNA is filed under the name uncultured bacterium. RNAcentral's name for it is "partial 16S ribosomal RNA". It matches the Rfam family "Bacterial small subunit ribosomal RNA", at positions 524 to 776 of the family's 1533-position model. The record is from RNAcentral.